AACAUUGUAUUUGUUUAUUGGGGGUCUAGGGUUUUUAAUUAAAGGUUCUGCUGAGAGAUUGAGAGUUGAGAAGCGAGAGAGAUUGAGAUUGAGAUUAAGAGUUGAGACGCGAGAGUGAUCGAAAGGUUGCCUGGAGCGUCCACUGUUGGCAUCACGCUUGUUGCCAUCGAUUGCCACUACUCAUUUGUCUUCCUCGUCUUCAUUGGAAUUGGACAACUACUUGGUUGAUUCUUUUGUUUAGCUAUUGCAGGAGCUCUUUUGAGUUGUGGGACAAUUAUGUUAAACAAUCACAAAUGACGUGAUUAAGGAGGAAUGCGAAGACACUACAUCUGUUGCUUUUUAAAUUUUAUGUAAGUGCAUAAAAUAUACAAUAUCAUAUUGUGUAGUACGAGUAUAUUUAACUGGCUUUUUAGUGGUAGAACUGUUUAAAAUAUUCGAGAUGUGGUGUAUUUUGUUGUGUUCUCUGUAAUGAUAUUGGUUGUUUUGCUAUUGAUAUGAAAUUGAAAUAAUAUAAAUAUAUAUAUAAUUUUUUUUUGUUAGAAAA
Solanum tuberosum (potato) is the source of this 544-nucleotide long non-coding RNA. RefSeq lists it as uncharacterized. Lineage: Eukaryota; Viridiplantae; Streptophyta; Magnoliopsida; Solanales; Solanaceae. The record is from RefSeq and is a predicted model, not a curated record. The transcript has 3 exons.